Long non-coding RNA from Leopardus geoffroyi (Geoffroy's cat), 2523 nucleotides. RefSeq lists it as uncharacterized. NCBI's taxonomy places the organism in Eukaryota, Metazoa, Chordata, Mammalia, Carnivora, Felidae. The transcript has 3 exons. The record is from RefSeq and is a predicted model, not a curated record.
AUUUCCCCACGUCUCCUGGUAUUAGUUCCUGGUUUGUUCCUUAAUGUGAAUGAAAACCAUUUUGAGCAGACGGAAGAGCAAUACCGGAAGGCUGGGAUUCUGAGUUUCACCUAGAACGGAGAAGCCAGGACUUGGGAUUUUCCCCUCAAUCACCAUGCUGUGCUGAUGUGAGGAGCUCUGGGAAAUUAACCAACUGGCGGAGAAGCAACUGAUCUGAAUGCAUGGGGGAAAAAACCCAGUUGCUCAAGCCUGUCAAAAUGUAUAUUGAAAAAUUUUCAUCAACUCGCUUUGAAACAUACUCUCUAACCUAAACCCAGUGUCAGUGGACUGUGGCAGGUGUUCCACAUGGUAGUUUAAGAAUGUCUGUGGGAGACAUGGAAGUAAUUCAAACAAAAGAGGGCCUUUUUUUUUUUUUUUUUUUUUUGGUCAAUAGAGGGGAUGGUGGAUACAUUUCGCGCAGAGUCAACAUUUGUGUUGAGUUUGAACUGUGGAUGGGAAUGGGAUAGACGAUUAGUGUUCGUGUCCAGGUUUGGAUUGGGCCCCAGGGACCUGACUGAACCAGAGGCAAUUGACUGAAUUCAGAUGCCACAAUUAGGCUGGGAAAAAUCCAAGAGGAAUACAUUUUUUUUCCCCAGAUGACCUGAGACACUUGUCUAUGCUUGAAUUUCCCUGUUGAUCUCAGUAUGUGUGUCUUUUUCUUUAAAGCUGAUGAGUGGAAUAACCAGACAACACUAAAGUUAAGAAGUUUCUCACAUAUCCACUGUAUAUUUUUCUAAAAACUCUGCCCAUAUUUCUUUUCAUCACAUAUAUUUAUCACACAUAAUGGAGGGUUUUUCCAUCUAAAAAACAUAGUGACUCAUUUUGCUAAUCAAUAUUAAUUCAUACAUGUAUGGUUUAGAUAGAUAUGAAUUUUUCAAUGUACAUUUGGUUUUAAGUAGAAUAAGGAUUUUUUUUUACCCAUUCAGAUAUUUCUAGGAGAGCAAGUAAAAACAGGAACAUAGAUAGAUGUAAGUAAAUGGUAGAGAACAAGUAUGAGACCUGCCCUUAGAGAGAUAAACAUCUAAUAAUGUGUGAACAGAUUUCAACUGAUAUCAGAAAGGCUGUGAACAACAUUGGUUUUGUUUCAUCAUUUGAGGGAAAGAAUAAGAGAAGAGAGAACAGUGUCUUCUUUUUCUCCCGCUUGGUUGGGAGACUGUCAUCAACAUUGGCUUUAAUCCUGGAUAAUCAACUUUUCUAGCAAUUGAAUGCAAGGAAGUUGGGUUUGUUAGCGAUUUGAACAAUUUCCAAAUGAAAAUCAACUUAGUUUUUUCUAUUUCCUGACAUAUUGGCAAAUCAUUUUUAUGAGCCCUUAUGUGAUUCAUUGAGCCAUUUGGGGAGGGUCAGAGGGCAAGAGUGCCAUUUACCAGAGCAGGUUUAAGCUGGGGAAGGCGAGGUCAGAGGGGAAGAGAGACCCUCAUUACUCUGGGAGGUUCUGGGGGCCAGCUCUGAGCCUGCCCAACUGUGUUAGGCUCACACUGGGUGUUUGUUAGCACAAAGCACCGAACUGCAGGUGUUCUGUGCUCUAACAGAGUCCUCAAAGAUCAGCCUCAAAUGUUUCUGUUACUAUGAAGAGGAUUAAAAGGAUUUAAAAACCUAGCAGGCCUGUCCAAAUGCUAGCAUAUUUGCCAACAUUUGCCAAGAGGGAGGAAAACAGGAUAGGCCGUAUCAGCUACGAGGCUUGGUAGUUGGGGGAAACAUACUUUUCAGGUUUCUUUUUCCCCCCUUUCUCUCCUUUUUUUAAUAGCCUGAAUGUGGAACUGUAGCACUUUCAACUGGAACUCGUUAAGAAUUCAUGGAGCAGAAAAUGUAAAGGGUUCUGGAAACAGGGACUUUGAAAGGCCAGAAGUGAGCUAUAAAUAAACUGCUGUUGAUACUCAUUUUUUUUUUCUGGUGGUUAAAUACACUUAUUACACCAGAAUGCCCACGUGGAAUAAACCAGGUGAUUUUGACCUGAAAACCCAAUUUACAUGGAGGGGCACGUUGACAUUUAUGGACUUACUUACCACGUAGAGGUAUCAUAACAGCCAUUACACAUUCUUGAAAAGCACUUUGGCUAUCCUGUAUGGCUUGUCCAUAUUGACAGCCAUCACCUGCAAGUGAAAGUAUGAGGGUCAGGCAUCUGGAAUCCUUGUUAAAGCACCAAUGUUACUGCUUAUCGUUAAUGGAUUUUACCAUCAAAUUCCAAUUUCUUUGCUUUCAGCUUUGCCCUACCUUUAGUGGUUCUGGUUCCUCUAUACAACACACUGAUUUUUCAGUGAGGUCCAGUGAAGAGGCUGAGAACUGAGUUAGCUGUGUGACCUUGGGUAAGUCAGAUAGCUUCUCUGAGCUUAGCUUCCUCACUGAUCAAGUUGGAGUAAUAAUAAAUUGCUCUAUCCUCCUCAUAAGAUGUGGCAUUUUUAAAUAGGGGUGAGGCUGACACCAAAGACUUCCUUGCAUGUGUUUAUAGAUAAUAUGUGAAGGUACGUGCAUACACACACCCACAUA